RNAcentral lists this transfer RNA (65 nucleotides) under Sphaerodactylus townsendi. RNAcentral's name for it is "tRNA-Ile". Lineage: Eukaryota; Metazoa; Chordata; Lepidosauria; Squamata; Sphaerodactylidae. The record is from RNAcentral.
GGGUGUAAUGGUAGAGCAUCUGCUUGAUAAGCAAAAGGUCCAAGGUUCAAUCCCUGGCAUCUCCA